This 403-nucleotide ribosomal RNA is filed under the name Bacillus sp. R-31832. Its description in RNAcentral is "bacterial SSU rRNA". It matches the Rfam family "Bacterial small subunit ribosomal RNA", at positions 16 to 421 of the family's 1533-position model. The record is from RNAcentral. Lineage: Bacteria; Bacillati; Bacillota; Bacilli; Caryophanales; Bacillaceae.
AUCCUGGCUCAGGACGAACGCUGGCGGCGUGCCUAAUACAUGCAAGUCGAGCGAGACUYUUCGGAGUCUAGCGGCGGACGGGUGAGUAACACGUGGGCAACCUGCCUGUAAGACUGGGAUAACACCGGGAAACCGGUGCUAAUACCGGAUAAUCCUUUUCCUCUCAUGAGGAAAAGCUGAAAGWCGGUUUCGGCUGWCACUUACAGAUGGGCCCGCGGCGCAUUAGCUAGUUGGUGAGGUAACGGCUCACCAAGGCGACGAUGCGUAGCCGACCUGAGAGGGUGAUCGGCCACACUGGGACUGAGACACGGCCCAGACUCCUACGGGAGGCAGCAGUAGGGAAUCUUCCACAAUGGACGAAAGUCUGAUGGAGCAACGCCGCGUGAGCGAUGAAGGCCUUCGG